RNAcentral lists this ribosomal RNA (501 nucleotides) under uncultured bacterium. RNAcentral describes it as "partial 16S ribosomal RNA". It matches the Rfam family "Bacterial small subunit ribosomal RNA", at positions 30 to 523 of the family's 1533-position model. The record is from RNAcentral.
AUUGAACGCUGGCGGCAGGCUUAACACAUGCAAGUCGAGCGGGGGAGGUUACUUCGGUAACUGACCUAGCGGCGGACGGGUGAGUAAUGCUUAGGAAUCUGCCUAUUAGUGGGGGACAACAUUCCGAAAGGAAUGCUAAUACCGCAUACGUCCUACGGGGGAAAGCAGGGGAUCUUCGGACCUUGCGCGAAUAGAUGAGCCUAAGUCGGAUUAGCCAGUUGGUGGGGUAAAGGCCUACCAAGGCGACGAUCUGUAGCGGGUCAGAGAGGAUGAUCCGCCACACUGGGACGGAGACACGGCCCAGACUCCUACGGGAGGCAGCAGUGGGGAAUAUUGGACAAUGGGCGGAAGCCUGAUCCAGCCAUGCCGCGUGUGUGAAGAAGGCCUUUUGGUUGUAAAGCACUUUAAGCGAGGAGGAGGCUCCUUUAGUUAAUACCUAAAGUGAGUGGACGUUACUCGCAGAAUAAGCACCGGCUAACUCUGUGCCAGCCGCCGCCGUAA